This 82-nucleotide transfer RNA is filed under the name Candidatus Zixiibacteriota bacterium. RNAcentral describes it as "tRNA-Leu". It matches the Rfam family "tRNA". Rfam says of the family: Transfer RNA (tRNA) molecules are approximately 80 nucleotides in length. The record is from RNAcentral. Lineage: Bacteria; Pseudomonadati; Candidatus Zixiibacteriota.
GCCGAAGUGGUGAAACUGGUAGACACGCUGUGUUCAGGGCGCAGUGCCGCAAGGCGUCCCGGUUCGAAUCCGGGCUUCGGCA